CAAUAGCGUAUAUUUAAGUUGUUGCAGUUAAAAAGCUCGUAGUUGGAUUUUGGUUAAGAGGGCGCGGUCGGCCGUUUGGUCUGUACUGCGUUGUCUUGACUUCCUGAUGAGGACAUGCUCUUGGUUAACGCUGAGACAUGGAGUCAUCGUGGUUACUUUGAAAAAAUUAGAGUGUUCAAAGCGGGCUUACGCUUGAAUAUAUUAGCAUGGAAUAACACUAUAGGACUCCUGUCCUAUCUCGUUGGUCUCGGGAUGGGAGUAAUGAUUAAGAGGAACAGUUGGGGGCAUUCGUAUUUCAUUGUCAGAGGUGAAAUUCUUGGAUUUAUGAAAGACGAACUUCUGCGAAAGCAUUUGCCAAGGAUGUUUUCAUUAA
RNAcentral lists this ribosomal RNA (373 nucleotides) under uncultured eukaryote. RNAcentral describes it as "partial 18S ribosomal RNA". It matches the Rfam family "Eukaryotic small subunit ribosomal RNA", at positions 592 to 976 of the family's 1831-position model. The record is from RNAcentral.